GCGGCCGUAGCUCAAUGGCAGAGCCUCUGAUUUCCACUCAGAUGACCAGAGUUCGAUUCUCUGUGGCCGCU
Molecule: transfer RNA, 71 nt
Filed under: Plantactinospora alkalitolerans
Lineage: Bacteria; Bacillati; Actinomycetota; Actinomycetes; Micromonosporales; Micromonosporaceae
Description: Plantactinospora sp. S1510 tRNA-Gly
Rfam family: tRNA
About the family: Transfer RNA (tRNA) molecules are approximately 80 nucleotides in length. Their secondary structure includes four short double-helical elements and three loops (D, anti-codon, and T loops).
Source: RNAcentral